This 462-nucleotide ribosomal RNA is filed under the name uncultured bacterium. RNAcentral's name for it is "partial 16S ribosomal RNA". It matches the Rfam family "Bacterial small subunit ribosomal RNA", at positions 28 to 507 of the family's 1533-position model. The record is from RNAcentral.
GAUAAACGCUGGCGGCGUGCUUAACACAUGCAAGUCGAACGAAGUUUUUCCUUCGGGAGACACUUAGUGGCGGACGGGUGCGUAACGCGUGGGUAACCUGCCCUGUACAGGGGGACAACAGCUGUAAACGGCUGCUAAUACCGCAUAAGCCCUUAGCACUGCAUGGUGCAUAGGGAAAAGGAGCAAUCCGGUACAGGAUGGACCCGCGUCUGAUUAGCCAGUUGGCAGGGUAACGGCCUACCAAAGCGACGAUCAGUAGCCGAUCUGAGAGGAUGUACGGCCACAUUGGGACUGAGACACGGCCCAGACUCCUACGGGAGGCAGCAGUGGGGAAUAUUGCACAAUGGAGGAAACUCUGAUGCAGCGACGCCGCGUGAGUGAAGAAGUAUUUCGGUAUGUAAAGCUCUAUCAGCAGGGAAGAAAAUGACGGUACCUGACUAAGAAGCACCGGCUAAAUACGUG